Molecule: long non-coding RNA, 375 nt
Filed under: Callithrix jacchus (white-tufted-ear marmoset)
Lineage: Eukaryota; Metazoa; Chordata; Mammalia; Primates; Cebidae
Description: lncRNA (ENSCJAG00000058980.2)
Source: RNAcentral
UAGUGAAGUCUAGUUGCUUUGGGGAAUAUUUUAUAUGUAUAUGAGAGGAAAACAAUCUUCCAGUUGUGCCAUAAAGCCUAUUAUUCAUAUAAUCAUGGGAAUUGUCCUUCUUUUCUCCACCAGACAUUUGUUAAAGGCCUUCUACACCCCAAUUACUGUGUUGAGCCUUCCUGUAAGAUGAAGAUGAGCAUCCUUAGUGAUGAGCCUGAAGGGACUUCUAAGGAAGAGGCCAAAAGGAACCUGCCAAUGGCAGAUGAUAUCCCAGGAGCAGAUAAGGAUGCAGUCAGGAAUGAUUCAGUGGUGAGAAUCAGGCUGCAUCACUGGAACUGCACUUCAUGUUGACAUAAGAAAUUUGCAGAAUUUGGAAAAUGGAGC